UACAGAGACUGCAAGCGUUAUUCGGAUUCACUGGGCGUAAAGGGUGCGCAGGCGGCCAAGUGUGUUAGGCGUGAAAGCCCGGGGCUUAACCCCGGAAUUGCACCUAAAACUACAUGGCUAGAGCAUUGGAGAGGGUAGCGGAAUUCACGGUGUAGCAGUGAAAUGCGUAGAUAUCGGAAGGAACAUCAGUGGCGAAAGCGGCUUCCUGGACCAGUACCGACGUUCAGGCACGAAAGCGUGGGGAGCAAACAGG
Molecule: ribosomal RNA, 253 nt
Filed under: uncultured bacterium
Lineage: Bacteria
Description: partial 16S ribosomal RNA
Rfam family: Bacterial small subunit ribosomal RNA
Source: RNAcentral